CCGAGUUUACAACUCCCAAACCCAAUGUGAACGUUACCAAACUGCUGCCUCGGCGGGAUCUCUGCCCCGGGUGCGUCGCAGCCCCGGACCAAGGCGCCCGCCGGAGGACCAACCAAAACUCUUAUUGUAUACCCCCUCGCGGGUUUUUUUAUAAUCUGAGCCUUCUCGGCGCCUCUCGUAGGCGUUUCGAAAAUGAAUCA
Molecule: unclassified non-coding RNA, 200 nt
Filed under: soil metagenome
Description: partial internal transcribed spacer 1
Source: RNAcentral